AGCAGCCGCGGUAAUUCCAGCUCCAAUAGCGUAUAUUAAAGUUGUUGCAGUUAAAAAGCUCGUAGUUGAAUUUCGGGGUCAGUAGGUCGGUCGUGCCACUGGUAUGAACUGGUUUUACUGAUUCCUCCCUCUUGAAGAACUGUAAUGCCAUUAAUUUGGUGUUGCAGGGAAUCAGGACUGUUACUUUGAAAAAUUAGAGUGUUUAAAGCAGGCUUUAGCUUGAAUACAUUAGCAUGGAAUAAUGAAAUAGGACGUUUGAUCCUAUUUUGUUGGUUUCUAGGAUUGACGUAAUGAUUAAUAGGGAUAGUUGGGGGCAUUAGUAUUCAAUUGUCAGAGGUGAAAUUCUUGGAUUUAUUGAAGACUAACUACUGCGAAAGCAUUUGCCAAGGAUGUUUUCAUUAAUCAAGAACGAAAGUUAGGGGAUCGAAGACGAUCAGAUACCGUCGUAGUCUUAACCAUAAACUAUGCCGACUAGGGAUCGGAUGAUGUUAAUUUUUAAUGUACUCAUUCGGCGCCUUAC
RNAcentral lists this ribosomal RNA (520 nucleotides) under uncultured Glomus. Its description in RNAcentral is "SSU rRNA". It matches the Rfam family "Eukaryotic small subunit ribosomal RNA", at positions 569 to 1091 of the family's 1831-position model. Lineage: Eukaryota; Fungi; Glomeromycota; Glomeromycetes; Glomerales; Glomeraceae. The record is from RNAcentral.